Long non-coding RNA from Zeugodacus cucurbitae (melon fly), 1443 nucleotides. RefSeq lists it as uncharacterized. NCBI's taxonomy places the organism in Eukaryota, Metazoa, Arthropoda, Insecta, Diptera, Tephritidae. The transcript is spliced from 2 exons. The record is from RefSeq and is a predicted model, not a curated record.
UGCUAACAGGUCGAAAACCACAUACCAAAGCUAAUUAACGCACGUAACGAACGCAAGAUACACUCAAAGAAAUUUAUGAUAUGAUUUAUGAUUAAAAUUCUUUAAACAAUUUGGCUAGUAUUUCAAUUAUUCCACUCGAAUUUUUGGAUAAUGAAACUAAAACAUUUCACUUGCAUGACAACUAAGCCUGCAAUUAUUGAAAUCAGUCUUAAGUAGUAAGUCAAGAUCUAAUAGCAUUUUCGCUGAAGCAAAUUAUUUGAAUACAUUAAGAUUAUAAUUGAGGAACCAGUUUUUGUCUUUCGCACUGCCGGCUACUCGAUAAACGAUCAGCUGUUAACAUUUUUGUUUUUGCUGUUCAUAAGAAUUUGGUAAAUUUCAUCAGCUGGUUGCUUUUUUAUCAAUAAGCACAGAAAAAUUUACAACGUGAACAACAGCCGAAGAGUUGCAUUGUAUUUUUAACUCGAUUUGUAUUCGAUUAAAAACUAAUGUUGAAAGACGAGAUAUUUACUUUGUUUGGUAAAUCGAUCUAAAUCAGCGCUUUAAUCGAGCAAAUGACGGUUAAAUGAUAAAUUAACCCCUGCGAAAAGGCUAUAAGACAUGUAACAUAAUAUUUGCAAAGGAACUUGAAAGGGGGUUCUCGGUGGGUUUCAGAUGCUAAAAACCAGGGUAUUCUUAAUUUUUUUUUAAAUCAAUACGUAUUUAAAUAGUUUGUUUAAUAAAAUAGUUUUCAUAAAUGAAAAUGUAAAAAAAUUCGACUGGUGCUCGUUAAAAUUUUGUUGUGAUAAAUCUGAAAAAAAGCUGAUUAACUGAAAAACAAAAAAUUUCAAUAUACAACGAACAGAACACAUAGCGCACUGAGUUGUAAUUGUGUAAAUUUAUUUUGUAAGCAAUCCGACACAAAUUUUUCUAAACAUGUGUAAAAGUUUCAAACUUUAAGAUUUUUCGAGACUAUACAACUUGAAAUAUGUUUUAUUAUUUCAAUGUAUUUUGGUGCUGCCUGAAAAAGUUAUCUAUAGAACUCUAGGGAUCCAACGCAUCCAAAUUUAAAAGCACUUUAUGGAAUUAUGGAAAUGUCUGAAUAUGGAAAGUAACUGAAGCAAUAGAUCAAUUGUAUAUGCCUACGAGUAUCCAGUUACACCUCAUGAGCUGAUUAAUAAGCAAUCGAAUGUUCAUUGGCGGAUCAUCCUUCUAAAUCACUUAAAAGGUUUUAAAUAGCGGGAAUGUACAAACUUUCAUAUCAUUGGCAGUCAAGAUCGUAAAUCAUCAAUCGACUUUGACAGUUGAAUCAAUUAAAUAAGUUUGACGUUUCGUAACUUCAAAAACAGUAUGUUCAGAUCGUAUGUACAUAAUAUGUCAAUGUUCAGAAAAAAUAUGUCAAUAUAUAAGUAUAUUUCCACCAUAUAUGACUAACUGUUACAUAUACAAAUAUAUUUAAGGAUAAUA